CAGGACCGGCUUCCCUCAUGGCCGAGGCAGGACCGGCUUCCCUCAUGGCCGAGGCAGGACCGGCUUCGCUCAUGGCCGAGGCAGGACCGGCUUC
This 94-nucleotide microRNA precursor is filed under the name Canis lupus familiaris (dog). RNAcentral's name for it is "miRNA (ENSCAFG00000051819.1)". It matches the Rfam family "mir-8830 microRNA precursor family". The record is from RNAcentral. Lineage: Eukaryota; Metazoa; Chordata; Mammalia; Carnivora; Canidae.